This is a long non-coding RNA of Phasianus colchicus (ring-necked pheasant), 1765 nucleotides long. Lineage: Eukaryota; Metazoa; Chordata; Aves; Galliformes; Phasianidae. The record is from Ensembl.
AUGGGCGUUCUGCUCCACCUGGGACGUGGUGUGGCAGUGGCUCAGGUUACAGGGCUGGCAGGGUGCCCGCAGCAGGCGGCCCAGGGACACACGUGUCCCCUCUCCCUGCACGUCCUACAGCACAGGGACACCCCUCGGCAGUGCCAACAGGGGACCCUUGGGAGCCGUCCGAGUUUCCUUGGUGACUGUUGCCAGGUGAGAAACUCUAAGGCAGAAUUUCUUAUCUUGGAGAACGGGAGAUGUUCCUCACUGGGGCUGUUACUGGACCCAGAGCUGGCACUGUGCUCGGCCAGACACCUCGCUGGGAGCAGUGACAGUGGCGACAGUGGGGUCCCCGAGGGCAAGCUGUGCACAGGGUGCUGGGGCUGUGUGGCCUCUGGGAUCACUGCCUGCAGGGCAGCACGUGGCGUGGGGCUAUUUCUGCCCAUUGGAGAGCAGCAGGCAAGGGAAGGAGGUGACACUACAGAGACCACGGAGAAGUGUGGAGGGACACGGGCUGUGCUGUCACGGCUUCAUGGACCCCCAUCACCUGGUGGGACUGCAACUGGAGGGCCAUGCUUUCAAAAUGUGCAAGUAUCCAAAGCAGGCAGCUCCAUUUUCUUGUGGAAGCAAUGCUCUCUCUGGUCUGCAGUGAGACCCUGUCUGUGCUCACUCAGCUCCAUGCAGUGCCCUGGGCUGCAGUCAGACCUGAGGCAGACCCCAGUUUUCUCCCUGCAGGAGAGUGAGGCUGUGGGAGGAAAAAGAGCAGCAAAAGCGGUUGCAUGAAACUGCAAAGCAAAUGGAAAAAAAAAAAUGUUUUCUCAACCAGAAACUAUUCCACAGACUGACGGGGCAGAAAAAAAAUUACAGCUGUUAUUGAGAACGCACUGCAGAAUCCAAACAGUUUAAGAUGGGAAAGCAAGUCAUUUGCAAAGCUAUUUCCAAACUAAGUAAAAAGUUCCUGGCUCCAAAUUCCUCCGAGCCCCACCAGCUGCUGGCUGUGGCUGCUGUGAGGGCAGGGAGCACACACGGGUCGCUGCUCCUGCUUGCAGCACAUGGCUGGGAGAUGCUGGGGAACUGCAUUCAGUACGUGGGGCUGCUGGGAGCCACGUACCCGAUGCUCUGCGCAGCACUGGAUGGGGGUUUGUUUCUUUGUGCAAACUGAGGAGCACUACUGAGGUUGGUGAUCCGGAAGGGCAGCGGUGGGGAGCAGCUGUCUUGCUGCUGUGCUCAGGGCUAUAUUUGGGAAUCCAGCAGCUUGGCGUGUCCCAGCUUGGGAAGCAGUGUGUCCCAGGGUCCUAGUGCGAUGGCAGGGAGGAAAGGAGAGAAAACACGCUGGGAGCGUGUGAGCAGCUCUCCUGCAUCUGGGUGGGCUCUUUAAGGGCUCCUGCACACUGUUCCCUGACAGCCCCAGCUUCUUCCUGCUCUCCUUUUAGAGCAGCAGAGCUGCUGGACAGGCGUGUGUCAGGGAGCUGUGCCUAUUUUCAGGGCUGGAGCCCUGCAGGAGGCUGCUCCCACCACUAUCUAUAGCCUGGCUGCUGCACAAGUGCCCUCCCUCAGCCACGUGCAGGGAGCAGCUGCACAAUCCCAAAUUUCACAUGGCUGGUGGGCACUGUUGCUCCAUCCCUGCGUUCACAGCACAUUGUGGGAUUAACAAAAUAAUGAAAUCUAGGAUUAAGAACAUCAUGAGGUCAGGUUAUUCUCCUGGAAAAGUCACUGAAAACAGGAAAGUGACAUUUUCUAGGACUUGGAGACAUUGCCUCGGACACCCCUGGGUGUUGGGAGA